Molecule: ribosomal RNA, 492 nt
Filed under: uncultured bacterium
Lineage: Bacteria
Description: partial 16S ribosomal RNA
Rfam family: Bacterial small subunit ribosomal RNA
Source: RNAcentral
AGUGAACGCUGGCGGUAGGCCUAACACAUGCAAGUCGAACGGCAGCACAGUAAGAGCUUGCUCUUACGGGUGGCGAGUGGCGGACGGGUGAGGUAUACAUCGGAAUCUACUUUUUCGUGGGGGAUAACGUAGGGAAACUUACGCUAAUACCGCAUACGACCUACGGGUGAAAGCAGGGGAUCUUCGGACCUUGCGCGAUUGAAUGAGCCGAUGUCGGAUUAGCUAGUUGGCGGGGUAAAGGCCCACCAAGGCGACGAUCCGUAGCUGGUCUGAGAGGAUGAUCAGCCACACUGGAACUGAGACACGGUCCAGACUCCUACGGGAGGCAGCAGUGGGGAAUAUUGGACAAUGGGCGCAAGCCUGAUCCAGCCAGACCGCGUGGGUGAAGAAGGCCUUCGGGUUGUAAAGCCCUUUUGUUGGGAAAGAAAAGCAGCAGGUUAAUACCCCGCUGUUCUGACGGUACCCAAAGAAUAAGCACCGGCUAACUUCGUG